AGAGUACUAAAUGAUGUGAUCAUGCUUAAUUUCGACUUAGGUUUAGGCGUUGCCAGUACUAA
RNAcentral lists this transfer RNA (62 nucleotides) under Trichinella papuae. RNAcentral's name for it is "tRNA-Arg". The record is from RNAcentral. Lineage: Eukaryota; Metazoa; Nematoda; Enoplea; Trichinellida; Trichinellidae.